UACGUAGGGCGCAAGCGUUGUCCGGAAUUAUUGGGCGUAAAGAGCUCGUAGGCGGCUUGUCACGUCGGGUGUGAAAGCCCGGGGCUUAACCCCGGGUCUGCAUUCGAUACGGGCUAGCUAGAGUGUGGUAGGGGAGAUCGAAUUCCUGGUGUAGCGGUGAAAUGCGCAGAUAUCAGGAGGAACACCGGUGGCGAAGGCGGAUCUCUGGGCCAUUACUGACACUGAGGAGCGAAGGCGUGGGGAGCGAACAGG
RNAcentral lists this ribosomal RNA (252 nucleotides) under uncultured bacterium. RNAcentral describes it as "partial 16S ribosomal RNA". It matches the Rfam family "Bacterial small subunit ribosomal RNA", at positions 524 to 776 of the family's 1533-position model. The record is from RNAcentral.